UAGCGGAGGAAAAGAAACUAACAAGGAUUCCCCUAGUAACGGCGAGUGAACCGGGAAGAGCUCAAAUUUGAAAUCUGGCGUGCUCAGUGCGUCCGAGUUGUAAUCUAUAGAGUCGUUUUCCGUGCCGGACUGUGUCCAAGUCCCUUGGAACAGGGUAUCAAAGAGGGUGAUAAUCCCGUACUUGACACAAUGACCGGUGCUCUGUGAUACGUCUUCUACGAGUCGAGUUGUUUGGGAAUGCAGCUCAAAAUGGGUGGUGAGUUCCAUCUAAAGCUAAAUAUUGGCGAGAGACCGAUAGCGAACAAGUACCGUGAGGGAAAGAUGAAAAGCACUUUGGAAAGAGAGUUAAACAGUACGUGAAAUUGUUAAAAGGGAAACGAUUGAAGUCAGUCGUGACUGAGAGGCUCAGCCGGUUCUGCCGGUGUAUUCCCCUCAGUCGGGUCAACAUCAGUUUUGUUCGGUGGAUAAGGGCGGUUGGAAGGUGGCACCCUCGGGUGUGUUAUAGCCAACUGUCGCAUACAUCGGAUGAGACUGAGGAAUGCAGCUCGCCUUUAUGGCCGGGGUUCGCCCACGUCGAGCUUAGGAUGUUGACAUAAUGGCUUUAAACGACCCGUCUUGAAACACGGACCAA
RNAcentral lists this ribosomal RNA (631 nucleotides) under Papiliotrema flavescens. RNAcentral's name for it is "partial large subunit ribosomal RNA". It matches the Rfam family "Eukaryotic large subunit ribosomal RNA", at positions 48 to 669 of the family's 3401-position model. The record is from RNAcentral. Lineage: Eukaryota; Fungi; Basidiomycota; Tremellomycetes; Tremellales; Rhynchogastremaceae.